GACUGGACAGGUCAGGGCACGGCAUGAUGGCGAGCGAGUAGGGAAAGAUAAGUUUCUCCUCGUGGAGGUAUUCACAUUAUUUUCAACUGGAGAGCAGAGGGAAAAACAACAUUUCGGUAACUUGUAGACUGUGUCCCGGUUCAAAAAUACUUUCUACGGCGAACAACAGCAACAGCAAUCUGCUGAAGCACCUGGAGAAGCGGCAUGCUUCGACAAAGUUAGCAGCUAAGGUAGCUAACGCAGCAUCCGAGACCUAGAGUCACAGCAGCGAGCACACACCCACUCCACCCACGCAGCAGCGGUUGGAGUUCGAAAGACAGACCCAUAGCCAAGCACAACUUGAUAAAUCAAUAGCACGAACUGGAGAUGCUGCUCAGUGGAAGCAAACAGACAGACACAUGUGAACAUGGGCCUGUGAUCAAUGGACUUUUGAAGGACAUUUCGUGCCCAGGGCGAUGAAUGACCCCAAAGAGGCUCUGCACUAGCACGAACAGAUCAAUGGUCAAUUCACAUCCGUUGAAUCUGAACAGGAGUGCUGGCUCGUUCCUGUGGAGACGGCACACAGUUGGACAGGAAGCCAGGAAUAUUAUUACACACUGCAGACCACGAGUGACAACGGUUGACGUGCUCCUCAUCCCCCUGCAUCUUCAUCUCCUUCACUUUGCGCUCCAGCUUGCGGUUUGCCUGCUGUAGGCUGUUGUUCUCCCUGACGAGGAGGAAAAAGCACCAAGAGAUCACAUCACUGCUGCAGCGUCCUGUAAUUCAACACCUAGCAAUAGUAUUUGGACCAGACAUCCUCUCACUCUGACCACAGGGAAAGUGAUAGGAGCAACUAGUGUCUGAUGGAUCUAUUAUCCAAAGUGUCUUCUAGUGUUCCAACUAGUAAACACAGACUCAAAUAUAUAUAUAUCUGUCAAUAUUUGAACACUGACUGCUCUUCUCCUUGCAGCUUCUCCUCCAGUUCCUGGAUGCGGCUGUUCAGUUUGGAGACUAGUGAAUCCUGGUUGGUCCUCUGCGAUCCUUCCAAAUGAGUCACUCUGCUCUUCAGGUCUUUAUUCUGACAGAUCAAAAUGAAGGAUGUUGUAAAUAAGACACACUGAGGAUCUUUAUGACUGCAUCGGAUGAAGAAAGUGAGAGGAGUUUAUCGUCAUGUUUUCAGGCAGUUACAAAACGGUCUGCACUGCCGCGCUCAUCAUUGAGAUCUUCUGCAAGGCGACUGAUUCGUCCCUGAGAAGAGAGGAGAACACAAACAACACGACUUGGGUGUGGGUGGAACACUGUCUCCAGCUUAUAGGAAAAGAAAAGAAAUGAAGCAUUAAAACAUUUCUGUGCAGAUGUGAGUGUUUGACCCUUGAAGAGGCUGAAUGACAGACAGGAGAUCCCUGAGAACAAACACCCAGACAGGUCUGAUAACUUUACACAGUAAACAUGGGCUUCAUCGGCUGAUACGCAAUGUCAACAGUGAGCACACCAGAGUCACAGUGCAAUGUUUUGUCAUCAGCAAGACAAACAGUGCUGAGCUGUGAGAUGUUGUUGCCAGGGCUCAUUACAGUGCCCUUACACUUCACAGGAACAAGUGAGUGCAAAUACUGGCACCUGAACAGAUAAACACUUCACACUGAUAAAGCAUAUUUGACUCUGUGAACAGCACAGAGAACCGUAUAUUAAUGGUAUUUACAUGCAAAUAACUCCAGUAUAUGUUGUGGUUUAAUUAACACACAA
Long non-coding RNA from Solea senegalensis (Senegalese sole), 1722 nucleotides. RefSeq lists it as uncharacterized. The record is from RefSeq and is a predicted model, not a curated record. NCBI's taxonomy places the organism in Eukaryota, Metazoa, Chordata, Actinopteri, Pleuronectiformes, Soleidae. The transcript is spliced from 5 exons.